AUGAAGAAGAUUAAGAGUGGAAAGGAGCUAGUGGAAGAAGUAAGGAAGAUUGAGAAGAACAUCAACGCUAUCAAUACUAUCUCUUCCCUCCCUGAGCUGAGUGUUGCCGGGAUAUCCCUUGAGGUGUGUGAGGUUCCAACACCUUCACAUUCAGCUGAGCAAGAUAGCGAGAGUCCAGAGGAAGAGAUACGUCAGAUCCAAGAAGAAAUUCUCGAAGCCAAAGCACAAGAUGAUCCAGAGCUCGAACAACAAAGUGAUCAAGUUGAAGACCCAUCAUCUAUUACUCUUGAAGAAGCAAAAGAAGUUGAUGUGAUUGAAGAUGAAGAACCAGAAACGCAUUUGCCCAUCGUCAUACAGGAGCGUGAUUUAGCAGGUUUAUCCAAUCCUCUUUAUGACAUGCUUCCUUAUGAGAUCUUUGCUGCUACUUUCCAUUGUGUUAUACCAUCAAUUAAGCUAGACUUGAAAAAUUAUUUGCUUGGACAUGAUCAUACUUAUUUUCCUUAUGCUAGUCCUAUGCUUAAUGAAACAUAUUAUUCCCGUCCUAGUCUUGAGCUUAAUGAUAAAUUUCAUCCUCAUGUUAGUCUCGACCUUGCUGAUUUCUACCAUCCUAAACAUGUGAUUUAUAGCUAUGCUUAUGUAAUUGGAUAUUCGAUUGAUGACUUGGAGGGUAUUACCCCUACCACUUGCAUUGUCUCUUUUGUUGAGAGUGCUUUCAGGUUUUUGCUUGUGCGCGAUCCAUUACAUGCUGACCAGGUUUGA
RNAcentral lists this ribosomal RNA (759 nucleotides) under Triticum aestivum (bread wheat). RNAcentral describes it as "partial small subunit ribosomal RNA". Lineage: Eukaryota; Viridiplantae; Streptophyta; Magnoliopsida; Poales; Poaceae. The record is from RNAcentral.